AAUUAAGAAAUCAUAAGAUGAUGAACUGUAAAUUCAUAUAAGAUAAAAUAUUUUAAAUA
RNAcentral lists this transfer RNA (59 nucleotides) under Wadicosa fidelis. Its description in RNAcentral is "tRNA-Tyr". The record is from RNAcentral. Lineage: Eukaryota; Metazoa; Arthropoda; Arachnida; Araneae; Lycosidae.